CCUACGGGAGGCAGCAGUCGAGAAUCAUUCACAAUGGGGGAAACCCUGAUGGUGCGACGCCGCGUGGAGGAAUGAAGGUCUUCGGAUUGUAAACCCCUGUCAUGUGGGAGCAAAUUAAAAAGAUAGUACCACAAGAGGAAGAGACGGCUAACUCUGUGCCAGCAGCCGCGGUAAUACAGAGGUCGCAAGCGUUUUUAGGAAUCACUGGGCGUAAAGCGUGCGUAGGCUGUUUCGUAAGUCGGGUGUGAAAGGUGCGGGCUCAACCCGCGGACGGCACAUGAUACUGCGAGACUAGAGUAAUGGAGGGGGAACCGGAAUUCUCGGUGUAGCAGUGAAAUGCGUAGAUAUCGAGAGGAACUCUCGUGGCGAAGGCGGGUUCCUGGACAUUAACUGACGCUGAGGCACGAAGGCCAGGGGAGCGAAAGGGAUUAGAUACCCCAGUAGUC
Molecule: ribosomal RNA, 446 nt
Filed under: uncultured bacterium
Lineage: Bacteria
Description: partial 16S ribosomal RNA
Rfam family: Bacterial small subunit ribosomal RNA
Source: RNAcentral